Molecule: ribosomal RNA, 253 nt
Filed under: uncultured prokaryote
Description: partial 16S ribosomal RNA
Rfam family: Bacterial small subunit ribosomal RNA
Source: RNAcentral
GCGGAGGAUGCAAGCGUUAUCCGGAAUGAUUGGGCGUAAAGCGUCCGCAGGUGGCUGUGUAAGUCUGCUGUUAAAGAGUGAGGCUUAACCUCAUAAAAGCAGUGGAAACUACAUAGCUAGAGUGCGUUCGGGGCAGAGGGAAUUCCUGGUGUAGCGGUGAAAUGCGUAGAGAUCAGGAAGAACACCGGUGGCGAAGGCGCUCUACUGGACCACAACUGACACUCAGGGACGAAAGCUAGGGGAGCGAAUGGGA